ACUCAAUUUUGAUCAGUUUUGGGUGGUUUUGAUCGGUUUUUGCCCGUUUUUGAUCGAUUUUUGAUCGAUUCUGGAGUGCGGCACCUCUGGCGGAGUA
This 97-nucleotide transfer RNA is filed under the name Euryarchaeota archaeon ADurb.Bin009. RNAcentral's name for it is "tRNA-Lys". Lineage: Archaea; Methanobacteriati; Methanobacteriota. The record is from RNAcentral.